Molecule: long non-coding RNA, 2166 nt
Filed under: Homo sapiens (human)
Lineage: Eukaryota; Metazoa; Chordata; Mammalia; Primates; Hominidae
Description: HSALNT0349714
Source: RNAcentral
UACCCACAUGACAAGGGCCUUCCAGACAUGGUCCAGCUGGGGUCUGAUGCUGAUUUGGAUAGAUCCAUGGCAAACUGAUGAAGAAAUUUUGGUCAGAGAGAUGAAGUAGCUCUGCCAGUACACAGCAUGGAAUUGAAAGCAAUGGGCCUGGCACUGACUGAGAGGUACUCACAGCUUGGGGCAGACUCCCAUUUGGAGAUGGGAUCCUGAAGAAGCCUGGAUGUUUGUGAUGGCGGUCAACAGAGCUUCCAGAAUGAUAAGAAAAUCGAGGCAUGGAAACAAUGCUGUCCACAGCCACACCGAGGGGGCAAAGUAGAGCUGGAAUUCCAACACUGGUCUGUCCAGCUUCAAGACCCAACCUCUCUAUGAGGAUGAAAACCUAAUGAAACAAAUCAAAACAGAUGAAACAACCUCAGCCUACAGGCUAAAGAAUGCGCUCACUCACUCAAGUCAUAGUGAAGAUGUGGAACACAUCAUUUUGCUGGUACAGAGGCAGAUUCACAGAUGAGAAUGUCAGGGAUUCUGUCUCAGAGGCGCUCGUGUCCUUACAAGGGAGGUGUAAGGACUACCUUGUUUUUCAUCUGCCCAUCUUCUUCAUUUCAUAUUGGGAUUUCCCCUUCCCAGUUCACAUGCCAACUGGAAGGUUUGCGAGUCCAAAUCCCAGCACUCAUCUGGCAAAGGGGUGAAUGUUUGACUCAUAUUGGAAAAUUAGACUAUAGGAAAGUAAAUGAUGACCCCCUAAUCUGAAAAUGGCUAGAGCGGAUUAAUCCAGCUAGCAGCACUCUGAAGAUAGCUGCCCAUUUGUUCCUGCCAUCUGGCUGUUCAGCUUUCCUUCUUUCUGAGAGCUUCCUUGUGGCAGCUACUGUAGGUUGGUUCACUCAGCGCCCAUUCCAUUUCCCGUCAAGCCGUGCUUUCUCUGCUCUAGAACGUGGAAGACUCAAAGCUCGCUUUCCCAGACUUCCUUGCAGCUAGGAGUGGCCAUGAUACUUGACCAGCGAGAUGCAAGUGUAAGUCUGCUGGGGCUGUCUAUCCCCUUUCUCCUUCUUCCUACUGGAAUGUGGACCUGAUGGUUGUAGCUGUGGCAUAUACCUUAUGAGCAUGAGGGAAAGCUUAAGAGAAUUGCGGGCACCAGCCUGACACUGCUUAGUGACGUCAGGCAGGCACAAACUUCCCUUUGGGCUCCUUGCUGAAGAACUCCAUAGUGGUUUCUGUUACUUGUGGCCAAAUUUACCUCUUCACUGAUACAUGAUCUGCACAUUUUCUUUGCACUUUUAUAAACAGGGUGUAUGCUUGAGGUAGGCAGAGUUUCUGUUUGCAACUAAGAAACCUUAAUUGAUAUAAGGAAAGGAAAAUAAUAUUAUGAUGAUACAAAGCAAACCAUAACACCAUCCAGAAUAAAAUAUGUUCUGGCAGGAGGACGGUCGCAAUACAAGUUCAUGUAGACGUAGUCUGUCACAUUUUUAAGUUUUCUCACAAUGUUUUCCUUUGACUGUCCCAGAUAUCCUAUAAAGUAAGAAUUAUUUUUAUCCCCAUCUUAAAGGUUAAAAAAAUCUCAGAGUUUAAGUGCUGUGGAAAUUAUUAGAUUGGUGCAAAAGCAAUUGUGGUUUUUGCCAUUUCUUUUAAUUUUAAUGGCAAAAACCGCAAUUGCUUUUGCACCAACCUAAUAAGAGACUAAAGUGAUUAAUUAAAACUGUGAGAGCUUCAUGAAAGGGGUGGUUUUAAGCUGAGUUUUGAAGGAUGAACAGGCUUUUGAGAAAGGCAGUAGGUGGUGGACAGAACAUUCUAGCUGAAGCAAGAGCUGCAAAUACUGGAAGGCUGGGCGAGUUUGGGAAGUGUGGUUGGUGCUCAGGGCUGGGGCCUAGAGCACUUGGGAAGCAUGUGAGGGAAGCAGAUUUGGAAUAGUUGGCAGGGGCCGGAUCAUGAAGGGUCGGUACACUGGCAGCCUCUUUGGAUUGCAGAGAACAGAGGCAUCCAGGUGAGCUCGAGUAAUAAGGUCGUUGUGAAGAUGCAUAUGGGAACAAAGGAGGUUCUAGAAUUAGGGCAAAGAUUCUUGGGGAACUGGGACUACACCACAACCAACACCACAGAGUGAAUGAAAACCUCAGAACAGUCAGACUUAUGAAGGUUGGAAUGUACUUUGACAAUAUAAAUCUGUCGAGAAUCAAA